RNAcentral lists this ribosomal RNA (486 nucleotides) under uncultured bacterium. Its description in RNAcentral is "partial 16S ribosomal RNA". It matches the Rfam family "Bacterial small subunit ribosomal RNA", at positions 29 to 507 of the family's 1533-position model. The record is from RNAcentral.
AUUGAACGCUGGCGGCAUGCCUUACACAUGCAAGUCGAACGGCAGCACGGGUGCUUGCACCUGGUGGCGAGUGGCGAACGGGUGAGUAAUACAUCGGAACAUGUCCUGUAGUGGGGGAUAGCCCGGCGAAAGCCGGAUUAAUACCGCAUACGAUCUACGGAUGAAAGCGGGGGACCUUCGGGCCUCGCGCUGUAGGGUUGGCCGAUGGCUGAUUAGCUAGUUGGUGGGGUAAAGGCCUACCAAGGCGACGAUCAGUAGCUGGUCUGAGAGGACGACCAGCCACACUGGGAGUGAGGCACGGCCCAGACUCCUACGGGAGGCAGCAGUGGGGAAUCUUGCACAAUGGGCGAAAGCCUGAUCCAGCAAUGCCGCGUGUGUGAAGAAGGCCUUCGGGUUGUAAAGCACUGUUGUCCGGAAAGAAAUCCUUGGCCCUAAUACGGGCGGGGGAUGACGGUACCGGAAGAAUAAGCACCGGCUAACUACGUG